Long non-coding RNA from Agrilus planipennis (emerald ash borer), 634 nucleotides. RefSeq lists it as uncharacterized. Lineage: Eukaryota; Metazoa; Arthropoda; Insecta; Coleoptera; Buprestidae. The record is from RefSeq and is a predicted model, not a curated record. The transcript has 3 exons.
CUUGAUAACUUGUUAUUUAACAGCAUAUCUUUAAAAAUUCAAAAUGCAAAUACCUUAUGAAAAACAAUUUAAUUUGAAUCCUGCAUUAAGAGUAGUGAAGAUGACACAGAACGGUCUAUAAGAAGUACCAAAUCAUCAUAACCAGGCACAGUGCCAGAGCCUUUGGCUUCGUAACGUCGCCACUGGCUGACCAGAUUAUGGUAACAAAAAGUACAAACCAACGCAGAACCAUCUUCACGCAACUGCUCCGCAUUUGGUGGACUAACGUGCUUAAGUAAAUAGGGAAAGUAUGGAGCAUUCCUUCCUACAAUAUAGAAUAAAAGCAGACACUCCAUAGUGUGAACAAAGCAGAACGAGAACCUUGCCUAAUGUGAACAGUAUACUAAAUACAAACUAAAUCUUCGCUUAUAAAAACAGAUGUCCAUUGUCCUUCAUUCAUAUUACGCCGUUAGUUGCGCCACUGUAUCCCUUCGUAUAUCCCCAACAGAUUUGGUACUUCCCCAGUCACAUUAGGUAUAGGCAUUUUUUUAUUCGUGUAUUUACUUCAUAUAAGUACAUAGUUCAUUAUUAUGAUGAUGUAAAUGUAAUAACCCAAUGAACAAGAGUGACGUAAAUAAAUCCAUAGUGUCAACUA